RNAcentral lists this ribosomal RNA (459 nucleotides) under uncultured bacterium. RNAcentral's name for it is "partial 16S ribosomal RNA". It matches the Rfam family "Bacterial small subunit ribosomal RNA", at positions 338 to 795 of the family's 1533-position model. The record is from RNAcentral.
CCUACGGGAGGCAGCAGUGAGGAAUAUUGGUCAAUGGGCGAGAGCCUGAACCAGCCAAGUCGCGUGAGGGAAGACGGUUCUAUGGAUUGUAAACCUCUUUUGUCGGGGAGCAAAAGACGCCACGCGUGGCGUUACGAGAGUACCCGAAGAAAAAGCAUCGGCUAACUCCGUGACAGCAGCCGCGGUAAUACGGAGGAUGCGAGCGUUAUCCGGAUUUAUUGGGUUUAAAGGGUGAGCAGGCGGAAGAUCAAGUCAGUGGUAAAAUUGAGGGGUUCAACCUCUUCGAGCCGUUGAAACUGGUUGUCUUGAGUGAGUGAGAGGUAUGCGGAAUGCGUGGUGUAGCGGUGAAAUGCAUAGAUAUCACGCAGAACUCCGAUUGCGAAGGCAGCAUACCGGCGCUCAACUGACGCUCAUGCACGAAAGUGUGGGUAUCGAACAGGAUUAGAUACCCUUGUAGUC